RNAcentral lists this transfer RNA (76 nucleotides) under Paracoccus saliphilus. RNAcentral's name for it is "tRNA-Ala". It matches the Rfam family "tRNA". From Rfam's summary of the family: Transfer RNA (tRNA) molecules are approximately 80 nucleotides in length. Lineage: Bacteria; Pseudomonadati; Pseudomonadota; Alphaproteobacteria; Rhodobacterales; Paracoccaceae. The record is from RNAcentral.
GGGGCCGUAGCUCAGUCGGUAGAGCGCAUCGUUCGCAAUGAUGAGGUCAGGGGUUCGAUUCCCCUCGGCUCCACCA